Molecule: long non-coding RNA, 3911 nt
Filed under: Brassica napus (rape)
Lineage: Eukaryota; Viridiplantae; Streptophyta; Magnoliopsida; Brassicales; Brassicaceae
Description: long non-coding RNA (BNAP_LNC013603)
Source: RNAcentral
ACCCUCUUUAAAUGAAAUAUCCACUUUACCCUUAAUGAAUUUAUUCUUUUUGUUUUAUUUUUUAUCUUUCCAGCAAUUAACUAAAAAAUAAAAAAAAAUGGCUUCCUUUCACCUUCGCCGACUUAAGUUCGUAUCUUCUCCGGCAGCACGCGAUGUCUCCGGCCAUCAACUUUGACGGCAGCACGCAGUGUCUCCAGUGCUCUCCGUGAGUCGCGACCAUCUUCUUUCAAUCGCACGAUGGUCUAUUGCUCCAACCUCCACCAAUGUUGUGCUCUAUAACACGUAAGCGAGUUCCGCCGAUUCCGCCAAGUCGCCAUGUCGGCGUGACCUUAGACCCUCACCGCCGACUCCGUCAGCUUCGAUUUCAGUCAAUCAUGGAUGAAGAUGGAUUGAGCAGAUCUCAAUCAACCAUGGAUGAGCGAUUCAAUCGAAUCUGGUGGGGAAACCAACUUUUCAUUAUUUGUGUUUUUGGUCCUCAAAUGUUUUGUUUCUCUUCAUUUUGGUCCCAAACUUUAUAAUUAACAAGAUUUUUUUUCUGUUUUCAGAUUGAACUUUUCAAUUAUGCACUUUAAACCAUGUUAGCUAAAAAUGGACAAAUAAAUACAAUAUACAUACACCUAAAUACAAUUUAAAAUGAUUAAAAUAAGCUAAAACUAACUGCAUAAUAAGAAAAAUCAUGAAAUUGCUAAUGGAGUGGGUUAUAGAAGAUGGUAAACUGGUACGACUCAUAUAACUAAACAUAUAACUCAAAUACUAGACAUGUAAUACUGGUUUAAUUGGUACAACUUCAUAGUAUAUAUCAGACAUGUAAUACUAGUACUACUGGUUGAACUUCUUCAUUAUAGAAAUUUAAAAAUUUCAUUUGCUUUUCCAUAUGAAAAAAUACAACUAUAUACAAAUUUGUACAACCCAAAAUUUGGUACAACUACGUAUUAUUCAAAGAACGUAGUUAUACCGGUUAAACCAAUCAUACAUAUUGUUCUCGUAAUUAUACUAGUUGUACUAUUUAUAUUGAUGGUAGUAAUCUACUUUUCUUUUAAUUUUGUGUCUUUUAUAUUUUCAUUUUCUUCAAGUAAGGAUAUUUCUAUUGAUAACAUUAAAAUAUUUUCCAAGUAUCUGUAAUGCCUAUAGAAAAUCAUAUAUAAAAUCAUCGACAAUAAAAUAUUAAUACUACUACUACCGUAGUCAAACCAGUUGUACUAUUAUUGUUGUAAUACUACUACAUGUUUCAGUUUUAUUAAUUAUAUAUGGCUUUUCAUAGGAAAAUAACAAUAGACUAGACAAGUUGGAAGUUCCUUAGAAUGGUCCAUCCUAUUUAUUUGAAAUUUUACCAAAUUUUUUUUCGUAAUUAUUACAUAAUGGUAUAAGUUUCCAUGAUCUACCUUAUACUUUAAGGGUUUGUUUACUGUAUUUUUUAAAAACGUACACCAAAUAUAUUUUAAGAAAAUUAAUGAUUCAGUUGCAUGUGCGCAUAUGUAUUUAAGUAAAUGAGAGUUGUACAACUGAAGUAUAUAUAUUUAAUAUGUGGUACAACUAAAAUUUUCAAAUUUUCAACCAAAAUACAACUAUGUACAAAGUUGUACAACUCAAAACCUGGUACAACUAUAUAUACGGUUGUACAACUAGAAUACUCUUACAACUACAUGUUAUUUUGUUUAUCAUGUUUUAGUUGUUUAUCACGUUUUGAAUGUGCUGCACAUUCUAAACGUGAUGGUUGUACCUUCUUUUGUCAAGUUGUACCAGUUUUACUUGUCAAAAUAAUUUUGCCAUACCUAACCUGGUUAUACUAGUUAUACCAAUAACAUGUCACAAUCAAACAGGUUGAAAACCACUAUGACAAACAGAAGUUCACUACUAAAUCACAAACAUAAGUCUUAAGUUUUACACAUACAAAAACAACACAAGUUCACUACCAAAUCAGAAACAUACAAGUUUUAAUUUUGACAAAAGCAGCACCAACAUCCAAAAGCAGCAUAAAAAAUUUGAGUUUCAAAUACAAGACACACAUAGAUUACUUUAGGACAUAUGGAGACUGAUGUGCACGAGAAGGCUUUGCCAACCUCAUCAUCCUUGUCAAGGCCUCUCCAUCCUCUGGUGAAUCUUCAACAUCUUCAUUCACUUCCUCUGGAGCUUCCUUCUUAACCUUCUCGGCAUUUGCUGCCAUCACUUCAAGCUCAUUCUCACCCUCCUUUGUAGCCUCUUUAUUAGUGUCAACCUUUUCCAUCUGCUCACGAUCAUUCUCGCCAUCAUUCUCCAGCUCAUUCUCGCCUUCUUUUCAGAUGUUGAACUAUGGGAGCCCGUGAAACCACUUAUUUUCAGAUGCAUCAGAAUCUUCAAUCAACUUGAUGAAAUGAUGUUGAUGACACCUUGAGGAGAGCUUAUAGGGCUUCCCGUACUCGGCCAGUUGGAAGUAAAACCUGUGUGGUUUGAUUGCUCCUCCAGCCAUCUGCUCACCAGGCACAAAAAAUAUAACAUUAAUAUAAUUGGAAAACUAAGGAGUUGUACUAGUAAGUUAUACUUAUUACACAAGUGCUAGUUGUACGAGUGCACAAGUUAUAAAUAUGCAAGUUAUACUAUUAAUACGAGUAUUACAAGUUCUAUUAGAGUUGUAGUUGUACGAGUAUUGCAAGUUUUAUACUAAAAUAGGUUAUAUUUGUACGAGAUAUACAAGUAAUACAUAGAACAUUUGUACAAGUUAUAUUAGUUAGCUAUGUUCUACUUAUAGCUAUAUAUGUUAUAGUUGUACGAGUUAUACAAGUAAUACACAAAAAAGUUGUACAAGUUAUAAUAGUUACAUAUGUUCUACAAGUUAUACAUAUAACAAUUGUACAAUUAUUAUUAGUUAGAUAAAUAAUAAUUGUACGAGUAAAGGAAGUUUUACAUAUUACCGUUAUAGUUAAAUAUGUCGUAGUUGUACGAGUAAUAUAAGUUAUACAUAUAACAGUUGUACAAAUAAUAAUAGUUAUCAUUUAACAGUUGUUCAAAUAAUACUAGUUAGAUAAGUACUAGUUGUACAAGCGAUACAUGUUUUACAUAUUCCAGUUGUAUUAGAAAUAUGAGUAAUACACUAUUGACAUGUUCUACUUAGAAGUUAAACCUGAAGUAGUUGUACCAAUUACACAAUUUUAUAUUUCAUAGUUGUAUUAGUAAUACUAGUUAAACUUAUUUCAGUUGUAGUAGGCACAUUUUUCUUAAGUACAACUAAAUCUACUAGAACAACUAUAUACAAUAUAUAUCCUAGUUGUAUCAUAUUACAAAAACUGAAUUCAAGUUGAUUUUUACAUGUGUAGCAUUAUGUUCGUCGGGUGUGUGAGCGUCACCGUGAUUUGACGUAGUUUCUUCAAGAUUUUCUCUUCAUUCCGAAGAAGGUGUCCCCCUCCUAGUGGAAGACCUGGAAAGAGGUGUAACCGGAAGGUUUUGUGACCCCGCCGCCUCUUCUGACUGUGUUGACUCACUGCCGGACCUAGUAGGAGAAGCAGCCGGAGUAGGGUCCGCCAGAGUAGGAGAAGCACUCGGAUUUUUUCGUCGCAGACUUUUAGGGUUAUGGUUCCGCCGCAGCCGCUUACUGGGUUGAGAUGACGAACCACCAUCGUCUCUUCCGUGUUCUUCUACCAUAGAUGGCCUAUCUCAGUUCUUCUUUGCUGGUUCGAUGUUCUUCUUCGGCGGUGGAGAUUCCUUCUUGUUAUUAGUUCCUCUGAUUGUAGGUGGCAUCUUCGUGACAAAGAGAUAGAUCGAGAAGUUCGAUUGAGAUAGAGACAGAGUUCUGAUCGUGAAGGUGUGGAGAAAGUGGACGAAAGUAGGGGAGUUGUCGGGAGUUGUCUUUCGUAGAUGGAGGCUUUGUCUAUUUGGGGAUUUAAGUUUUCAGUCGGGGUUGGGUCGGUUUAAGAGUCGGGUAGGAUAGUAAUGGUACG